GACGAACGCUGGCGGCGUGCUUAACACAUGCUAGUCGAACGGAAAGGCCCUGCUUUUGUGGGGUGCUCGAGUGGCGAACGGGUGAGUAACACGUGAGUAACCUGCCCUUGACUUUGGGAUAACUUCAGGAAACUGGGGCUAAUACCGGAUAGGAGCUCCUGCUGCAUGGUGGGGGUUGGAAAGUUUCGGCGGUUGGGGAUGGACUCGAGGCUUAUCAGCUUGUUGGUUGGGUAGUGGCUUACCAAGGCUUUGACGGGUAGCCGGACUGAGAGGGUGACCGGGCACAUUGGGACUGAGAUACGGCCCAGAGUCCAACGGGAGGCAGCAGGGGGGAAUAUGGCAAAAUGGGCGGAAGCCUGAUGAAGCAACGCCGCGUGCGGGAUGACGGCCUUCGGGUUGUAAACAGAUUUCGCCUGUGACGAAGCGUGAGUGACGGUAAUGGGUAAAGAAGCACCGGCUAACUACGUG
Molecule: ribosomal RNA, 468 nt
Filed under: uncultured bacterium
Lineage: Bacteria
Description: partial 16S ribosomal RNA
Rfam family: Bacterial small subunit ribosomal RNA
Source: RNAcentral